CCCUUAGAUGUUCUGGGCUGCACGUGUGCUACAAUGUGCCACAUAUAGAGUCUCCUUCACUUAACGGUGCGGGGAAUCUACUAGUAUGGUGCUAGAUGGGGCUUGAUGAUUGAAAUUUUCCAUCACAAACUAGGAAUUCCUAGUAUGUGUACGUCAACAACGUAUAUAGAAUACGUCCCUGCCCUUUGUACACACCGCCCGUCGCUCCUACCGACUGAAUGAUCCGGUGAACUCUUCGGAGCUGUGGUCAUAUACGUUUCCGUUAUGAUCUAUUAGCGAAGUCGCGUAAACCUUAUCAUUUGGAGGAAGGAGAAGUCGUAACA
Molecule: ribosomal RNA, 323 nt
Filed under: uncultured eukaryote
Lineage: Eukaryota
Description: partial 18S ribosomal RNA
Rfam family: Eukaryotic small subunit ribosomal RNA
Source: RNAcentral